AACAUGGAUGAAGCUUUAUCUAAUGAGUUUAGCAUAAAGAGCGAACAGUCAUUACUACUAUUCAGUUGAGGAUACCUCUUCUUCACUGGGCCGGGCAGUAGUGGCGCCAUGGCAACAUGCUGAUGAACUGGGGGGGGGUGGGGGGUGGGGGGGGGGUGACUGGCACCUGUUGGGCCCACUGCCUUCCUCCAUUUCCAUUGCUCUUUCAUGCAACACACUCCUCUCAAAGUGCUUUACAAGGUGCGAAGAGCCUGAACCACAACAAUUGAAAUGUGAGCUGAACGUUCAGCUGCAGUCAUCAAUCAUCUUUCAAUCAAUCACUGUCACCCCCGCUGCUUCGCCACCCAGCCUACGGCACCUUGAGCACUAGAAAACGUGACUUUCAGUUACACUGUAUUUUGAUGGUCCCCCAGUUGACACUCUGCUGAAUGUAAGUAACUUUGCAACACGUCAAACACCAGUCAUUAGUAGACUACCUUCUUAAGUUAGCGUCAGCAAAGUGACAUCAUUUCCUGUUCUUGAUUAGAUGCUUUGUUGUUGUAUUUCAUUCAUUCGUAUUUCAGUUUCAUAAUCCUGUUUGACUUACUGUAUGUAA
RNAcentral lists this long non-coding RNA (595 nucleotides) under Danio rerio (zebrafish). RNAcentral describes it as "si:dkey-286h17.4 (ENSDARG00000101064.3)". Lineage: Eukaryota; Metazoa; Chordata; Actinopteri; Cypriniformes; Danionidae. The record is from RNAcentral.